UUAAUUCUCGUUUUUGAUUCAGACAAAUGCUUUGUUGCAUAAAUGUGGCGACUCGGCGCCAAAGCACAUCUUGCUUCCACAGGUUUGAAGUUGAAGGCCAAAAGCCAUUCAUUAAUGAUCCCUCCGCAGGUUCACCUACGGAGA
Molecule: unclassified non-coding RNA, 144 nt
Filed under: uncultured fungus
Lineage: Eukaryota; Fungi
Description: sequence contains ITS1
Source: RNAcentral